RNAcentral lists this long non-coding RNA (863 nucleotides) under Sus scrofa (pig). RNAcentral's name for it is "lncRNA (ENSSSCG00050038478.1, ENSSSCG00065058079.1, ENSSSCG00070028549.1)". Lineage: Eukaryota; Metazoa; Chordata; Mammalia; Artiodactyla; Suidae. The record is from RNAcentral.
GCCUAAUGGGGUCUGACCUCACCCUGUUUGGAGGUGGCCUUGUAAGAGCAAGAGCAAGGUCCACCAGAGAACAUCUGUUAACCUCUUCCCCAGCUCUUAGAGAAAAGAGCUGGAACCACAAAUUUACAGACACUGCUGAGGCCUGGGACCACCCAGUGGGGAGAUCUCUGGUGGAGGGAGCAGAGGAAGGAAAGAGGAAGGAUAUCAAAGAGUUGCAGAGUCAGAGGAGAAGGGAUGGCCCCGAGAGCACUGACAAUGUGUGUGGUAUGGUCUCUGCCCAGGCCAGCAGCAAGGGAAUGGAGGAGGACUUCCCUCUCUGCACAAGAAGUGAAUCUGGAGAAGAGACACCUGGCGUAUUUAGAGAGCCAAUGGCUCCUUCAUCUCCAAAGGAAUCUUGGGAACUUGCUGCCAUACAGGAUGGUGAUCAGUUGGACUGCUGGAAUGCACAGGUUGAUUCCCUAAGAUUAUCUUUGGGCUUUGGGGACAUUUGCAUCACAUGUUAAAAACUGGUGAAAAUUCAUUUAAUUUUUUAAUUUUUAAUUUUUUUCUUUUGUCCUUUUAGUGCUGCACCUGUGGCAUAUUCCCAGGCUAGGGGUCUAAUGGGAGCUGUAGCUGCUGGCCUAUGCCAGAGCCACAGCAACGCCAGACCCGAGCUGUGUCUGUGACCUACACCACAGCUCAUGGCGAUCCUUAACCCACUGAGCCAGGCCAAGGAUCAAAGCCGCAACCUCAUGGGUCCUAGUUGGAUUCCUUUCCGCUGCACCAUGACAGGAACUCCUGAAAAUUUAUUUUUAUUUUAAAAUUUCUUACAAGUAUUUCAUCUGUCAUGAGAGAAAAUAAAAAAUUCCAAAGGGAAAAAUGCA